Molecule: ribosomal RNA, 253 nt
Filed under: uncultured bacterium
Lineage: Bacteria
Description: partial 16S ribosomal RNA
Rfam family: Bacterial small subunit ribosomal RNA
Source: RNAcentral
UACGUAGGGGGCUAGCGUUGUCCGGAAUUAUUGGGCGUAAAGGGCUCGUAGGCGGUUUGUCGCGUCGGGAGUGAAAACUCAGGGCUUAACCCUGAGCCUGCUUCCGAUACGGGCAGACUAGAGGUAUGCAGGGGAGAACGGAAUUCCUGGUGUAGCGGUGAAAUGCGCAGAUAUCAGGAGGAACACCGGUGGCGAAGGCGGUUCUCUGGGCAUUACCUGACGCUGAGGAGCGAAAGUGUGGGGAGCGAACAGG